This 67-nucleotide transfer RNA is filed under the name Trichoprosopon pallidiventer. RNAcentral describes it as "tRNA-Tyr". Lineage: Eukaryota; Metazoa; Arthropoda; Insecta; Diptera; Culicidae. The record is from RNAcentral.
GAUUAAAUGGCUGAUAAUAGGUAAUAAAUUGUAAAUUUAUUUAUAAGAUAAAAAAUCUUUUUAAUCA